This 71-nucleotide transfer RNA is filed under the name Candida buenavistaensis. RNAcentral's name for it is "tRNA-Phe". It matches the Rfam family "tRNA". From Rfam's summary of the family: Transfer RNA (tRNA) molecules are approximately 80 nucleotides in length. Their secondary structure includes four short double-helical elements and three loops (D, anti-codon, and T loops). Further hydrogen bonds mediate the characteristic L-shaped molecular structure. tRNAs have two regions of fundamental functional importance: the anti-codon, which is responsible for specific mRNA codon recognition, and the 3' end, to which the tRNAs corresponding amino acid is attached (by aminoacyl-tRNA synthetases). tRNAs cope with the degeneracy of the genetic code in two manners: having more than one tRNA (with a specific anti-codon) for a particular amino acid; and 'wobble' base-pairing, i.e. permitting non-standard base-pairing at the 3rd anti-codon position. The record is from RNAcentral. Lineage: Eukaryota; Fungi; Ascomycota; Pichiomycetes; Serinales; Debaryomycetaceae.
GCUUAUGUAGCUUAAUGGUAGAGCAACCGCCUGAAGUGCGGUAGGUAUGAGUUCAACUCUCAACUUAGGCA